GGUAGUAAAAGUCGUAACAAGGUCUCCGUUGGUGAACCAGCGGAGGGAUCAUUACCGAGUUUACAACUCCCAAACCCAAUGUGAACCAUACCAAACUGUUGCCUCGGCGGGGUCACGCCCCGGGUGCGUCGCAGCCCCGGAACCAGGCGCCCGCCGGAGGGACCAACCAAACUCUUUCUGUAGUCCCCUCGCGGACGUUAUUUUUACAGCUCUGAGCAAAAAUUCAAAAUGAAUCAAAACUUUCAACAACGGAUCUCUUGGUUCUG
This 266-nucleotide unclassified non-coding RNA is filed under the name plant metagenome. Its description in RNAcentral is "partial contains small subunit ribosomal RNA, internal transcribed spacer 1, and 5.8S ribosomal RNA". The stretch from base 1 to 54 matches the Rfam family "Eukaryotic small subunit ribosomal RNA", at positions 1778 to 1831 of the family's 1831-position model. The record is from RNAcentral.